RNAcentral lists this non-coding RNA (802 nucleotides) under Tristira magellanica. RNAcentral describes it as "12S ribosomal RNA". The stretch from base 347 to 789 matches the Rfam family "Microsporidia small subunit ribosomal RNA", at positions 752 to 1304 of the family's 1311-position model. The record is from RNAcentral. Lineage: Eukaryota; Metazoa; Arthropoda; Insecta; Orthoptera; Tristiridae.
UUAAAGUUUUAUUCUUGCUUAGAAAUUCACUUUUUAUUUGUAUUAUAUGUAAAUUUUGUUAAACUUAAUGUUUUAUUUUGCAGUAAUUUAAUUUAGUUAUCAAGUGAUUUUGGAACUAGCAAUUUAUCAAGUAUCGGCAUAGUUCGUGCCAGCAGCCGCGGUUAUACGAUUGAUGCAAGUGAAUAUUUUUGGUUUAAGCAGUUGUUUAUAUUGAUAUUGGGUUUUAAUAUGAUUUUAAUAAGUGAAAUUUGAAAAUCUUUUAUAAUUCUUUUUAUGAAACUGUGAAAUUUAAAUUUUAAACUAGGAUUAGAUACCCUAUUAUUUUAAAUGUUAAUUUUAAUUACCAGGGUAUUAAUAGUUAAGGUCUUUAAACCCAAAGAAUUUGGCGGUAUCUUAUUCCAUUCAGAGGAACCUACCCCRUAAUUGAUAGUGCACGRUUAAAUUUACUUAAUCUAUUWGUUUGUAUAUCUCCGUUAUCAGAAAAUCUUUUUAGAGUUUUAAUUUUCUAAAUAUAUAAUUGUAGAAUAUUUCAGGUCAAGGUGCAGCUUAUGAUUAAGAGGAGGUGGGUUACAAUAAAUUUUUAUUUAUACGGAUUUUUUGAUGGAACUAUUUAUUAAGGUGGAUUUGAUGGUAAUUUUAWCUAUUUAGGUUAAUUGAUAUUGGCUCUGAGGUGUGUACACAUCGCCCGUCGCUCUCAUUAUUGAUUUACUUGUUUUAAUAUAUUUAAUUAUGGUUUCAAUUUAGAUGAGAUAAGUCGUAACAUAGUAGAUGUACUGGAAAGUGUAUCUAGUAAGGAUUUAAU